AGUAGUGCGCACUGAAUGCUUUCUCGGUGCAGAGCACUGUACUAAACAUUAGGAGGGCACAUAGGAGUAAACACAAUCUCUGCCCUCAAGGAGCUUACCAUCUAGCUGGGGAGACAGACACUAAAAACGAAUCACAGGUAAGGGCAGACACCCCAGCAUCACUUCCAGAAGCAAUGGGUUAAGGAGCAACUCUGCCUCUGGCAGGGGUUGCCGCAUUUCCCUCACAGUUGGCCCCGAAUUGCACUGUGAUGAAACGAUGCAGGGUGUAAAUUUUUUUUUUCUGGUGUUACACAUAUAAAUAUCCUGAAUGUGAACAUUUUGGUUACCGGGUUGCUGUGGUGAUGAGAAGUUUUGCAGGAGCUAGUGGGAGUGAGCCAUUUCAUGGCAUUCAGCCCCGAUUCAAUUCCACAACUGUUGUCCCACUGAGAUAAGGCUGAGCCACCCGUUCUGCUCUCUUCCCUGAACAGGUGGCCAGGAAGCAGAAACUGAGCUUUUCUUGACGUGUGUCCCUGGGGUAGCCUGACUUUGUAUUCGGAGAAGACACCGCUGAUGGCCUGCCGUGUCUUGUGUCCAUCAGCAUCAGGAGUUCAGGACCUCGUGGACAUGACUGAAUCACUCAACUCUUAUACCUGGGUUAAAGCCCCCUUUCUUCCACAGCUCCUCCUUCCCUGUUUACUAGCGUUCUUUCCCUUUUUUUUUUUUUGUUUAGUUUAAUUUAAUGGCUAAUGAGAGUUAAUUACAGUGAUUGCACAGUGAGUUUCUUCCUAUUCCCGCUACUUCUCCUCUGGGAUUCUUAACUUGGAGCACACAGCCACAGCCUGGCUGCUGUCAGCUCAAACCGGUGGCCAUUGUUUUUGAAAAAUAAAGCCAAUGAUUCAUGAAAGACAUUCAAGACUCGGCAUUAUCCCUUCCCUUUUUUGGUUUCUGAGAAAGAAUUCCCACCCUUGUCCCUAGCUGGAAUUUUGUUCAGUCCUUUUGGAAGGAGUGACAUUUUUUGCAGACUGCCAGGAUCCAAGCCUCAGAAAUUUACAGGUCACACUAUCCUGCUGCUGCUGUUGGCUUUUUUUGCUCUCUUCGGAGUUAUCAUUACAUGGGUCUCGGGGCAUCUUUCAUAAACACAUUGUUCUUUCCACUUUUUCACUGGGCACAGUCUGAUAUUCUAAACUGAAUGUGCUGUGUUGUCACUGGGUCUUUAAUUUCAUCACUUUUUUUGUCUGAUUUCCUCUGGAAAGAAAGCUAUCAAAUUGUCCCUUCCCCUUCCUAUAUGCCCUCUGCUAAUUACAGCUGAUACUGGAGAUUUCAAACCAAGUAGGCAGCCGAUCAGGGCCCAAAGCAUACUCAUUACAGUUAAGCACUUUUCAAAU
RNAcentral lists this long non-coding RNA (1364 nucleotides) under Ornithorhynchus anatinus (platypus). RNAcentral's name for it is "lncRNA (ENSOANG00000051076.1)". The record is from RNAcentral. Lineage: Eukaryota; Metazoa; Chordata; Mammalia; Monotremata; Ornithorhynchidae.